CGUCGGAGCUUGACGUGGUCAAAUGUUAGGGCUCAGCUGGCUGCAGGGUCCCCGCCUAGACUCUCCUUCAUAUGUCGUCUCUGUUGUCUGCAACCGAUCUAUCUGACUAACUUGCUUGCCGCUGUCCAUCUCCGCUUCGUCGUGAACCAUGAGGGCUAAGUGGAAGAAAAAACGUAUGAGGCGCCUGAAACGCAAGCGCCGAAAAAUGAGGCAGAGAUCGAAGUAGAACCUGAAUUGUGGCCGCUGUCUUAUGGGCAGAAAAGAAUGUCAAAUGUUCGCAUCUGAUAGGCUGUUGGAUUAUUUCUUAGGAAGGUUACUGAAUUAUUUAAAUUCUCGGAGCUCAUAUGUUCUAGCUAUAUUGCCCAGAGGUUAGAACAGUAUCUUGGACCAGGCGAGUUCCAGACUUACAAGCCUGCCAUACCUGACGAUGAGAUGUGACUUAUUUGACUUCGGAAGAAAAGAGGGUUCACUUGGACAUCCCUAUAUUUGCUUUGGCCAA
Physcomitrium patens is the source of this 499-nucleotide long non-coding RNA. RefSeq lists it as uncharacterized. The record is from RefSeq and is a predicted model, not a curated record. NCBI's taxonomy places the organism in Eukaryota, Viridiplantae, Streptophyta, Bryopsida, Funariales, Funariaceae.